GAUGAACGCUGGCGGCGUGCCUAAUACAUGCAAGUCGAGCGAACAGACGAGGAGCUUGCUCCUCUGACGUUAGCGGCGGACGGGUGAGUAACACGUGGAUAACCUACCUAUAAGACUGGGAUAACUUCGGGAAACCGGAGCUAAUACCGGAUAAUAUAUUGCACCGCAUGGUUCAAUAGUGAAAGACGGUUUUGCUGUCACUUAUAGAUGGAUCCGCGCCGCAUUAGCUAGUUGGUAAGGUAACGGCUUACCAAGGCAACGAUGCGUAGCCGACCUGAGAGGGUGAUCGGCCACACUGGAACUGAGACACGGUCCAGACUCUUACGGGAGGCAGCAGUAGGGAAUCUUCCGCAAUGGGCGAAAGCCUGACGGAGCAACGCCGCGUGAGUGAUGAAGGUCUUCGGAUCGUAAAACUCUGUUAUUAGGGAAGAACAAAUGUGUAAGUAACUAUGCACGUCUUGACGGUACCUAAUCAGAAAGCCACGGCUAACUACGUG
This 497-nucleotide ribosomal RNA is filed under the name uncultured bacterium. Its description in RNAcentral is "partial 16S ribosomal RNA". It matches the Rfam family "Bacterial small subunit ribosomal RNA", at positions 28 to 507 of the family's 1533-position model. The record is from RNAcentral.